GGUCCAGCAGUUGUCAGCUAUCCAGGCUGUGUGGUGCCCGAGAUCGUGUUACACUGUUGGAAGAGUAAACACUGCCUUACUAAGGGUCGGCUCCCAGCACUGUUUUGGUGUCUGGUGCUGAGUACUUUCAGGCAGUAUUGCAUCCCUGAGAGUGGAAUGACUCCUUGUGGAGUUGGUCCUGGUCUGGGUGCAAACAAU
This 198-nucleotide small nucleolar RNA is filed under the name Mus musculus (house mouse). RNAcentral describes it as "small nucleolar RNA, H/ACA box 74A (Snora74a)". It matches the Rfam family "Small nucleolar RNA SNORA74". Rfam says of the family: U19 belongs to the H/ACA class of snoRNAs. snoRNAs bind a number of proteins (including dyskerin, Gar1p and Nop10p in the case of the H/ACA class) to form snoRNP complexes. This class are thought to guide the sites of modification of uridines to pseudouridines by forming direct base pairing interactions with substrate RNAs. Lineage: Eukaryota; Metazoa; Chordata; Mammalia; Rodentia; Muridae. The record is from RNAcentral.